Molecule: transfer RNA, 70 nt
Filed under: Schistocephalus solidus
Lineage: Eukaryota; Metazoa; Platyhelminthes; Cestoda; Diphyllobothriidea; Diphyllobothriidae
Rfam family: tRNA
About the family: Transfer RNA (tRNA) molecules are approximately 80 nucleotides in length. Their secondary structure includes four short double-helical elements and three loops (D, anti-codon, and T loops).
Source: Rfam by way of RNAcentral
GGCCUCGUAGCUCAAUGGCUGUACUAAAGCUUUCCCCUUGCUGGUGUGGGUUCGAAUCCCACCGAGGCCC